This 207-nucleotide ribosomal RNA is filed under the name uncultured bacterium. RNAcentral describes it as "partial 16S ribosomal RNA". It matches the Rfam family "Bacterial small subunit ribosomal RNA", at positions 568 to 774 of the family's 1533-position model. The record is from RNAcentral.
CAUGUAGGCGGUCGUGCAAGCUUGGUGUGAAAUCCCGGGGCUCAACUCCGGGACUGCGUUGAGAACUGCACGGCUAGAGUAACUGAGGGGCAGCCGGAAUUCCAGGUGUAGGGGUGAAAUCUGUAGAUAUCUGGAAGAACACCAAUGGCGAAGGCAGGCUGCCAGCAGAUUACUGACGCUGAGGUGCGAAGGUGCGGGGAGCAAACA